This 208-nucleotide ribosomal RNA is filed under the name uncultured bacterium. RNAcentral describes it as "partial 16S ribosomal RNA". It matches the Rfam family "Bacterial small subunit ribosomal RNA", at positions 568 to 774 of the family's 1533-position model. The record is from RNAcentral.
CGCGUAGGCGGUGAUGUAAGUCAGAUGUGAAAACCAUCGGCUUAACCGAUUGGAUUGCAUUUGAUACUGCAUCACUUGAGUUCAGUAGAGGAGAGUGGAAUUCCCAGUGUAGCGGUGGAAUGCGUAGAUAUUGGGAAGAACACCAGUGGCGAAGGCGGCUCUCUGGACUGAUACUGACGCUGAGGCGCGAAAGCUAGGGGAGCGAACA